ACGAAAAGAAAACUACCUAGCCGUCCAUCUCUCUCUCCCUUUCCCAUUUUCUCUCCCUGCCCCACGAUGCACGCAGCAGCCAGCAGCGCCCAGCGCUAGCGCUCCGCGCGGCCUGCGCUCCCCACGCCGCAGCUAGGUGCCCCGGCCAACGCCCCCUCCCAACGGCAAGCCGGUGCCCCUCCGCGGCGUGCAGCCAUGGCUGCCAGCCCGCAGCCGCCGCGGUUCGUUACCCUGCUCGACCGGCCCUAGCCCUUGCGCGCGGUCGGCCUGCCAGCGCGGCGGCGCGACCAGCUAGCACUAUCGUCGUCAUGCUCGUGUCCUCGUCGCUCGUUCGGUGCGUCGUGCACGCAACAUGUCGUCGUACCUCGCCUCGUCUCGCCGUCGUCGCGAGGUAAGCCUCGCCUACCCCUUGCGCGUAAUUCAGAUGAGGUUCGCCCGACGACACGCAAAAUGCUAAUUACACGUUUUAAACAAAGUCAUUUCGUCAUGUCGUUUAGGCUAAAUAAUUAGUUAAUGGUGUGGUUAUCGGUUGUUAAAAAACAUGAGGUUCAAUCGAAUCUAGUUUAUAAUUUUAAUUAUGCGAUUAUAAAUACUUGGCAAUGUGAUUUUAACCACUUAGAUGUUGUAUUUAAUAUCUAUUUAGUGUUUGGUAUAAAAACAACAUUUAGUUAGUGAGUCUUGCAUGUGGUGGUGCGCGUCGCUCGUGCUGUUUGGCUCGUGCUAAUUCACAUGCUGUCCAUGUGUGUCGUCAUUCACACGAGUCGUUAUUCACGCACUUUAAUAAAAUUAUUUCGUCACAUCGUUCAUGUUAAAUAAUUAAUUACUUAUUUAGUGUCGGUUAUUUAAAAUAAUAGUUCAAUCAAACCAAAUUUAUAAUUUUAAUUACACGCUCGCAAAUACCUGUUAUUGCGAUUAUGCCAACUUAAAUGUAUAUCUAAUAUUGGUUUAAUAAAAAAACGAUACAAUUUAGUAGUAUUCGUAGACCAUGUCAUUUAUUAGCCGUGAUGUGCUAAUUAUUCAAUACGUUAUGUGUCGCAAUCCUGUUUUGACUCGUUUCGGACGUGUCAACUCCAUACCAGUGUUAAUUUCAUUUUACUAAUAUUAUUUUGUCACGACGUAAGUUUUAAUCAAAUAGUUAAUUAUUUGUUGUACAAUAUUUAUUAGAAUAACAAUUUGAAUAAAACUAAUUUCUAGUUUUUAUUCGCGCUUUUAUAGAUACAUAUUAAUAUGAUUACGUCUGCUCGAAUAUUUUUGAAUUAAUACUUGUUAGUAUAGACGUAUUGCAGCGUGUGUCGUCUCUUGUCGAUCAUGUGUGUCUCACGCGCUGUCCGCACGUUAUUUAAUUAUUUCUGUUAUUGUCGUUUGCGCUAAUUAGUCAAUUAUUGUUUAGUCGUUGGUUAUUUAAAAUAACAAUUCAAUUAGAACGAGUCUGUUUUAACACACGAUUUUAUAAAUAUAAAUGAUAAUUAACUUGAGUGAUACCAGUAUAAAUACUCUUACUUAAUUAUUUGUUUACUGUUGUUAGCACGUGGCAUCGUUCGCGCGUCAUCGUGUUGUUCGCGCGCAUAGUCGCGUUGACUCAGGUGUGACGAGCACUGUCAUGCGCGUUGUUUCGUGUGUCCGUAUGUUGUUCGGCAUGCUGUCGUGCAUCAUCACAUGUCAUCCACGUGUGUUGCGCGCGCCGUUUUCACGUGUCAUGUGCUAUCUGUGCGCUAGGUCGCGUGCGGGCGUGCUGUUUCACGCGUUACGUAUUUCGUCUCGCUCCGCUAAUUCGUCCCGCUUAGAGUUGCUGAUAUUAUUUAAAUUACUUAUUUAACUAAGAAUUACUAGUGUGGUCAGCUAAUUAAAAUUGUGUGAUAGCUAUAGUUUCAUUUUAAAUAAAUAUCGAUUAAUAUAAGCAGAUCAAACUAAAUGUUAUGACUAAUACUCGUUUAUUGUAGACGCGAUAACUUCUCGAUCGUAGCUUCGUCUGUCGCGUUUCUUUUUCCUUGCGUGAUCGUAGUAACACGCUCUAUUUCAUUUUGCAUAUUUUAUUAUGUUUCUAUUUGAAUGGUGUAAUGUUCUUAUGUAUAUAUGUUUGUUUGUUUGUGCCUGUUUGUAUUCGAUGUGCGUCGCGAAUAGAUUGCGAUCCGGUUCCAAGCUUCGAGGGAUCGAGGAUCAAGCGUUGGCGACCAAGUGAUAUAGCUUUACGAGUUCUACGAUACUAAAGACCCUGAGCAUCUGUUUGGUGAAGGCAAGUGUCCUCUGACCCAUUAUGUCCCAUUUACUUUAUAAUACACUGUCCCGCAUACUAUGAACAACCUAAGGAUUUACUAGCUUUCUAUUUACAUUGUCCUUGAUUUACCUUUUGGGUUACUAUGGUUAGCUACCUGCUAGCGCUUUACUUUAAUCAAUGAACAUGAUGAGAUACAAUGAUGAUACUAUGAUUUUAUUCUGGAUAUGAUGAUAUACUGGUGGCAUUUAGGGGACUCGGGCUGUUUCCCGAGUACCUCUCCGUAAGGACCUGUUCGUUGAGAGACCACCCGGGAUAACAGUGCAACCAUGAGGGUGAAAUGGGAUGCCCUUAGCUAACUAAUUAGAGGAACUAGAGGUGUAGUUGCUUCGCCGUCGUGCCGUCAAUGGGGUCCAGGCACAGUGCUUGCUCUGCCGAGGCUGGGUGCCGAGGUCCUUUCGUUUUGCUUUUGUUAGUCACCUUCCUGCGGGGAGGAGUACUGUGUUUAUCAAACUGGAGAAACCUAACGGGCGGCUAUGACCUCUAGGGAAUCUUUGUAAAAGCUACGUAGUGAUACCCUGCCGGACCACCUAGGAAGUGAUCAAUGGGGAGUCAUGAUCCCCGGGCAAAACGGGAAUCACGGCUCAUGGGUAAAGUGUGCGACCUCUGCAGAGGGUAAUGAAACUGAUAUAUCAGCCGUGCUCACGGUUAAGAGCGGCCUUGGGAUCCUCCUUGAUUAGAGAUACAUAUGAUCUAAGAUACAAUGGUUAUAUUUAUGUUUUGGUUCGAUGAUGAUAAUGAUGUUCCUCGAUGAGGAAAUGAUUCACAGGUUGGUUACAUGAUAAAACUUGGCUUCCACUAAUAAUAAAUACCUGACCAACUAAAAGCAACUGCUUGAGCUAAACCCCACAUAAAGCUAGUCCACCUCAGCCAAACGGGACAUUUGCUGAGUACGUUGAUGUGUACUCACCCUUGCUUUCACAAAACACCAGGUUGCCUUUGGUGCAAUCUAUGCUCAGGUAAAGAAGAAGGAGUCGAGGCGGAUCUCUAGGAGUUCCAGGACUUCGACGAGUUCGAGGAUUAGGCUAGCGACCUCCCCCAGUCAGCUGCCUGUGGUGGGUUUGUUUACGUUGGCUACGUUUCUAUUCUGUGUACUUUGAUUUGUGCUAUGUAAAUGACUCUAGUCUUUAAUAUUAUUACUCAUUCUAUAUUGUUAUUCGAAGCAUUGUGCUAUGAUGAGUCAUUUAUGUAAUCGCUGUGUACGUGAAUUUCUGAUCCUGGCACGUACAUGGUUCGCAUUCGGUUUACCUUCUAAAACCGGGUGUGACAUAAGUGGUAUCAAAGCCGUGCUGACUGUAGGACCGCUGACCUAGAGUAGCGUUGGCCGUUUUAAGGACUUAUUGACUAUUACUUCACCCCAUCCUUGGUUCUGCUUCAAAAUAUUAGUCACCUCGACUAAUUCUAUGUUGUGCUCCUAUAUGCCCCCUUGACAAAAGUAUUUUAUUCUAGUAUGGUUUAUACUUCUCUCAAUCUAUUAGAUCCGAUCUCACUCUUGUGCUUGCGAUAUCUUUGUAGAUGCCCCUUACCAUGACCUUCUAGUCUCUUGGGAUUCUUUCCUCUUCCAUCAUUAAGUUGCUGCCAUUUGACAAUCAUUAUUCCCUUGGUAUUGACAUGCUUUUGAUUCUUCCAUACCCUUAUUCCUUAAUUCAAACACUUAACCCUAAAAACUCUAUUGCCUAGUUAAACAUUUCAGUUUAUAUGUCCAUGACCUUCCUGUCUUUUGAGAACCUUUCCUAUUCUAUUGUUAAGUCGCUAUCUUUUGGCAAUUUGUACUCUCUUCGUCUUGGUAUGCUCGUACCAUUGGAAUCUUGCAUACUAAUAUUUUUAUAUAUGCUUACCUUCAUAUCCCAAUGAUUGUUCAAAAAAUUUCGGUUAAUAUGCCCUUGAUCAUCCUUGCUUCUUGAUGGUCCAUGAGCGACCCUUCUAUUUCGCACAUCCUUGACGAUCUCACCGUUUCCUCAUAACUUCCCUCGAUAAUAAUUUUUGUUACUUCAACCAUUCUGUUGGGACCUUACCUAUCUCACCCUUGAUUGUCUUAUCCACUUCGCCACUUCGAGAGUCUUGCCUUAACUCUAUCCUGGGUUAUGAUUUCACGAUCAUCAUCUUUACCCUUGUCGCCUCUAUAUCUUACCUUGAUGCUUAUAUUAUACCCGUCCUUUAAAAACCUUCUCUCUGCCAUCUCAAUUUUAUAGUUGUAGUUUACCUAUUUUCCCUUGGUCGUAUUCUCUUCCUUAUCGCUUGCGAGUUUUUAACUCCAUCCCUUGUCGUGCUCCAGUUGGGUAUUACCUUUACCUUUCUCAUCCCUCGAUCUUACCUUUAACUACACUAUGUCCGUUCUCUAAAAUCUUCAAUCUCAUAUCUCAAUGUGAGAGCGAUGUUUUACUUAUCUUAUCCUUGGCAAUAUCCUCUUCUUUUCCGCGUGUAAGCCUUGACAUACCUCCAUUCUUUAUUGUGCUUAUACCACUCGCUCUUCUAAGUCUUCAUCUUUUCUCCUAUACUCUUGUCUGUUAUCGCCUUUGGCCCUUGCGAUAUUUAUGUCUUCUACCUAAAUGCUUACCUUGAACUUAUCCUUUAAAGCCUCUCCUUUAUUUUGAGAAAGUUUGAGGGUUGUGAUUUACCUAUCUCUCCCUUGAAUUCUUGUCACUUCGUGUCGCCUUACAAGUUUUGUGUUAAUUCCAUCCUUUGUUGUGUUUUAUUUGCUAUCACCAUCACCUUGUCAUCCAUCGAUCUUGCCUUAUACUCAUCUGUAUUCCCACUCUAAAAAAAUCUCCUCUCUUCCACCUCAAUUUGAGAGUGGCAGAUUACCUUUCUGGCCCAAGGACGUACCCUCUCCUUUUCCAUUUGCAGGUCUUGUCUUAACUCCAUCCUUUGUGGUAUUUAUAUUCUUGGUUCUUAUGCACAUUUACCUCCUCUCUUACAUCCUUGUCCGUUAUCACCUUUAAACCCUCAUGAUACCUAUGCCCUUGCCACAUGCCUACUUUUAACCUACCCUUUAAAGCCACCUCUCUUUCAUCGCUGUUUGAGAAUAAUACCUCACCUACUUCACCAUUGAUUGCUUCCCCUUCUUUGAUGCCUCUCAAGUUUUGUCUAAAAUAUAUCCUUGGUUGGAUUCUCUCCCUUGGCGGUUACAAUCAUUACUUUAGCUCCAUCCUUUAUUAUGCUCAUGCCCCUAUCCUCCAUGUCUUAUUAUUUCUCCUUGCCUUUUGUUGGCCUUAGAGUAGUUUCCUUUUUUAAGGAAAGACCACCAUUUAAUUAAAAGGAACAUAUAACAUCGAGAUGUUGGUGGUUGUAUGCUUGUGAUGUUUGUCUUUGUGUGAUGACCGAUUUGCUUCUUUGUGAUGAGUGUUGUUGUGUUGUGGCCUUUGGUCCGCAAUGACAUCAGUUUACUAGUUGGGUGCUCUCCCUUUUCUCUCUUUAAUCCAUUUAUGCUUACCUUUUCUAUCUUACCUUUUCUAUCUAUACUCUUUCCUCUUGCACCUGUCCAGUUUGCAACCUCCAACCUCUCUCAAUCAAUCAAGACCAGAGUCGACAGCAUCUUUAUCAAGUGCGUAUCAACGCUUCUGUUAAGGGGGUUAGUCGCUAACCCCAAUGAAGACAAUGUGAAUAACAUCAGCCAACAAGAUCAGAGUGGUGUAGCGAAAGCGUGUGUGGGUCCUAACCCACAGGUCCAAGGGAUCCUCAAGAAUUGUAUCGAUUGGUCUCAAGCGCCUGAAGGUCAAAGCAUCCAGUCCGCAAGCUAAGCUUGCAAAGUCAAAGUCAACUCAAGAAAGCCGUGAACAACGGAUGAACCAACCUUGUUUCUCUUGCUAGCUUCUUGAAUCUCGAGGGCGAGAUUCUGUUAAGGGGGUUAGAUUUGUAACACCCUGAAUUUGGGGGUAUAAAAUUUCUUUCCUAAUAUCCACCAAAUUCAGGUGUUACCCUCUUCUUCCUUUGCCUUUCUUUAUCUUUUCAAAGCAGUGAAGGAAUAUUUUGCUUUUAUGUAAGUAUUAGAUGUAUUAAUGAAACUCUAAAAGGGUUUUUUUGAUAGUUGCAUCACAUGCUGGAGCAUUAAUUUUGUUUGUUGUUGAUUGAGUUAAAAGAGUGUUACUAUUUAAUUUAUUCUCUUUUUGUGAAGCCCAACUUAAUUAAUAAUAGAAAUUUACCUAAAAAUAUCUAUUGAAUAUUUUAUUUGAAAAUAUUAUUAUUUCAAAUUAUUAUAUUUUUUCAUAUUUAGAAAGACAUAUUUAUUCAUAUAUUUCGAAUAACUUAUGUGAAAAAAAGAAAAGAAAAGGGAAUUUCGAAAUAAAUAAAUAAAAGAAGAAAAAAAAGAAAUCUAAAAAAACAACCGUCCGGGGGCAAGUCCACCCCACGUGCGCGCAUGUAGGCAUGCAGCGGCUAGCGCCCACGCACGCUAACGCCCAGCCGCUCCCACGAUCUCUCCUCGCGCCCGCGCGUCAGGUGCAUGCAGGAGCCCAAGCGCGUCAUCUCUCCCACGAAAAGAAAACUACCUAGCCGUCCAUCUCUCUCUCUGUGAUACCCGGUUUGCAAAGAAGAGAAGUUGAAGGUUAUUCUUUUUGUUUGUUUUUUCUCUUAUUCGGGUGUCGCGCUUUGGGGAUUUAGAAUUUGUGGAAAUCAUUCACCAGUAUAGCAGUAGAGUGGUUGGUCGGGAGCUGUCGUGCAAGCGAGUUGGGCCGCGAAUCGCAAUCCGGCCCACUAACCCUCCCCCUAACCCUAGCCGCCCCCCUUUUUCCCCCUUGGGUUGUUGCAGCCGCCCCUUCCCCUCCCCUUUCUCUUGGACGCCCCCCCUCUCCCAUCUUCUUCCUCCUCAAACCUUUGCAGCCCUCACCACCCAAAACCCUAGCCGCCCCCCCCCCCCCCCAUUUCUCCCCCUCCUCCAAGGUGCAGCCCUCCCGUGUGGUUCUCCGUCGUGUGGCUGCGAUCUCAAUUGGAGUUUGGAGGGAGGAAGAAGGAAGGAGGAAGGGAAGAACCUAAGGUGAAUUUGUGAUUAACUUUUGUUGUUUUUGUGCUGCAAUCAAUUGGAUUAUGUGUUUAUCUUUGCGAAUCGGUAGAGGUGCUGUCCAGGAAUUUUGUGAGUGGGUGAACAGCAGUAGUUCUAGGGAUUUCUGGGAAUUUUCGUGGGGUAAUUAGUGGGAAUCAGUGGGAUAAUCAUGUAGAGCUUUGUCAUACCUUUCCAACGAGUACUUAUGCGCUCGAUUCGGAGUUAUAAUUUAGGAGAUAUCGUUGUUUGAAUCCGGGUAUAUUGCUGUCCAAAAAAACAGAUUUUUCAGGUGGGUGAACAGCAGUAGUAUUAGCAGUUUCUGGGAAUUUUUCGUGGGUAAUUAGUAUUAACCAGUAUUAUAAUCAUGUAGGGCUUUGUCUUAUCUUUCCAAUGAGUACUUAUGUGCUUGAUUUGGAAUUAUAUUUUAAAAGAUAUCGCUGUUUGAAUCCGGGUAUGUUGCUGUAAAAAAAACAGAUUUUUCAGGUGGGUGAACAGCAGUAGUAUUAGCAAUUUCUGGGAAUUUUUCGUGGUUAAUUAGUGCUAACCAGUAUGAUAAUCAUGUAUGGCUUUGUCUUAUCUUUCCAAUGAGUACUUAUGCGCUUGAAUUGGAAUUAUAUUUUAAAAGUUAUCGCUGUUUGAAUCCGGGUAUGUCGCUGUCCAAAAGAGAAAAAAACAGAUUACAGGGUUCAUCUUGUGAACUGUUUUGGGCUAAUUAGAUGUUGGAGUUUAAUUAUAAAUUGUAUACAAAACUUGUGGGGAAUUUUAUGUAGAUGCCUCUGGAGUUUUUGUUUGUUACCAAUGCUGUCAUAAUUUUGAAGUUAUGAAAUUAUUAAGCAGCGCCGCUGCAGUUUGGUGGGUGUGGGGAGAGAUGUAACCCGCGGCGGGGUUUGAGUUUGUGCGUAGGUGCGGCGUCGUUUAUGAGCCUGGUUAUGUGAAAUUGGUGCACUAAGUUGUGUGUCAAAAACAGGUGGUGGACUUCCGGAUCGUACUUAGGGAUUUGCCCAAACUUCCGGUAAAGGCAAGUAAAUACAGUGGUGGUUGCUACCGUUUGGUUUGCAUCCUAUUCCCUGUCAUUGAGUAUGCAUAAGUUUUAAAUAUGUUAAUCAUUGAAUUCUAUGAUGAAGUUUAUUUGUUCGAAAGUAUUAAUUCUCAAUUGUCUAAUAUUGUGGAUGAUCAUGAUUUGGUAAUGAUAUAUGUGGUUGAUUCCUAUCAUGGAUGGAGUUGAAGUAUUUUUAUUUGAAUCACGUUAUAUGAAGUGUUGUAGGCAUGUCAUGCACAUUGCAUCAUCCAUCUUGCAUUCUGAAGUUAUGUCGUGAUCUUAUGGUCCGACUGUACCGGUACAUUUUUAGCAUCGUACGUUGUCCGAGGAGGGGUACGAUGCGGCUUCAUAUCCUUAGAGGUAUGAAGGCAGAAGUCAUCCUUGCAUUUGCAGACAUUUGCACUCAUGAGGUAUAUAUAUGAAGAGUGACAUUACUAUGUUACUAUUGUGGUUUCUACCUGCGAGGUGUGGUAGCUAGGAGUGUUGUACGUUGUAUACGUGCUGCACCUUUGUAAUAAGAAGGUUGUGAAAUCAAGUGGUGGUAAAACAAUAUUCUUAUGUGGUUAAACAGUUUGAUAUUAUUUUACUUGCUGAGAUGUGUCAUCUCACUCUUGCAUUACUCAAUGCAGGUACUUGAUAUAUGUUGGGAAUGAGGGGAGUAGCAGCACGUCCACUUUCACUCUCAUAAUAGCGCUGCCCAGGCGUAGCCAUGAUUUAAUUAGAAACUUGUUGUCAAAAGAAGUUAUUUUUUUUUGCUAGUCGUGCGCACUGGUUAAUUCAGUUCAUGUCGUAUGUUUAACUUCCCUUUGCUAGCCGAUUAAUAAUACUUGGUAUGUUUUUGUCAUGAUAUAUGUUUAUACAUUGUUGUCCCCCCCCCUCAUUUAUGCAAUUUUGCAAAGGAGAUGCUGCCAAAAUUUUAUAUAGAUGUCAGAAGUGUAGUUCAGUAGCAUUCCGGGGUGUUUGUGGAUCCCGGGGUGUUACAGUUGGUAUCAGAGGAUAGGCUUUAGAUUCUACGCAAUUUGAAGAUAAAUUUGACACACUUGCACAUAUAGGAAGGGU
Molecule: long non-coding RNA, 9348 nt
Filed under: Zea mays
Lineage: Eukaryota; Viridiplantae; Streptophyta; Magnoliopsida; Poales; Poaceae
Description: long non-coding RNA (ZMAY_LNC003697)
Source: RNAcentral